UACCAGCUCUUCGAGUGGUGUGGAUGUUUAUUGGGCCUAAAGCAUCCGUAGCUGGCUAGGCAAGUCCCCUGUUAAAUCCACCAAUUUAAUCGUUGGAGUGCGGGGGAUACUGUUCGGCUAGGGGACGGGAGAGGCAGACGGUAUUUUCGGGGUAGGGGUGAAAUCCUAUAAUCCCGGGAAGACCACCAGUGGCGAAGGCUGUCUGCUAGAACGCGCCCGACGGUGAGGGAUGAAAGCUGGGGGGAGCGAACCGGAUUAGAUACCCGGGUAGUCCCAGCUGUAAACGAUGCAGGCUAGGUGUUUGGGCGGCCACGUGCCGCUCUAGUGCCGCAGGGAAGCCGUUAAGCCUGCCGCCUGGGGAGUACGGCCGCAAGGCUGAAACUUAAAGGAAUUGGCGGGGGAGCACCACAAGGGGUGAAGCUUGCGGUUU
This 430-nucleotide ribosomal RNA is filed under the name uncultured archaeon. RNAcentral describes it as "bacterial SSU rRNA". It matches the Rfam family "Archaeal small subunit ribosomal RNA", at positions 474 to 903 of the family's 1478-position model. The record is from RNAcentral.